Molecule: small nucleolar RNA, 133 nt
Organism: Aotus nancymaae (Ma's night monkey)
Lineage: Eukaryota; Metazoa; Chordata; Mammalia; Primates; Aotidae
Source: Ensembl
GGCUUCUCAGCUCUGCUUAAUCACACGAGUCCAGUGUGUGCUUGGCAUGUUUUCAGGGAGGCAAAGAAAGGCUCUCCUAAUGCACAACAGAACCGCCUAAAAUGGCCUCCCUGUUCUUAGGAGUACAACAGUU